GUGGGGAAUCUUCCGCAAUGGACGAAAGUCUGACGGAGCAACGCCGCGUGAGUGAUGAAGGUCUUCGGAUUGUAAAGCUCUGUUAAUCGGGACGAAAGAGCCUAGUGUGAAUAAUGCUAGGAAGUGACGGUACCGGAAUAGAAAGCCACGGCUAACUACGUGCCAGCAGCCGCGGUAAUACGUAGGUGGCAAGCGUUGUCCGGAAUUAUUGGGCGUAAAGCGCGCGCAGGCGGAUCUGCCAGUCUGUCUUAAAAGGUCGGGGCUUAACCCCGUGAGGGGAUGGAAACUACAGAUCUAGAGUAUCGGAGAGGAAAGUGGAAUUCCUAGUGUAGCGGUGAAAUGCGUAGAUAUUAGGAAGAACACCAGUGGCGAAGGCGACUUUCUGGACGAAAACUGACGCUGAGGCGCGAAAGCCAGGGGAGCGAACGGGAUUAGAUACCCGAGUAGUCC
This 450-nucleotide ribosomal RNA is filed under the name uncultured bacterium. RNAcentral describes it as "partial 16S ribosomal RNA". It matches the Rfam family "Bacterial small subunit ribosomal RNA", at positions 354 to 796 of the family's 1533-position model. The record is from RNAcentral.